Molecule: ribosomal RNA, 379 nt
Filed under: uncultured bacterium
Lineage: Bacteria
Description: partial 16S ribosomal RNA
Rfam family: Bacterial small subunit ribosomal RNA
Source: RNAcentral
CCUACGGGCGGCAGCAGUGGGGGAUAUUGCACAAUGGGGGAAACCCUGAUGCAGCGACGCCGCGUGGGUGAAGAAGUAUUUCGGUAUGUAAAGCCCUAUCAGCAGGGAAGAAAGAAGACGGUACCUGACUAAGAAGCCCCGGCUAACUACGUGCCAGCAGCCGCGGUAAUACGGAGGAUGCGAGCGUUAUCAGGAUUUAUUGGGUUAAAAGGGUGCGUAGGCGGAAUAUCAAGUCAGCGGUAAAAAUUCGGGGCUCAACCCCGUCGUGCCGUUGAAACUGAUGUUCUUGAGUGGGCGAGAGGGAUGCGGAAUGCGUGGUGUAGCGGUGAAAUGCAUAGAUAUCACGCAGAACUCCGAUGGCGAAGGCAGCAUACCGGCG